This 210-nucleotide long non-coding RNA is filed under the name Homo sapiens (human). RNAcentral's name for it is "non-protein coding lnc-F9-3:3". The record is from RNAcentral. Lineage: Eukaryota; Metazoa; Chordata; Mammalia; Primates; Hominidae.
AUGGAGCAAGCAAGGGAUCACUUACACCUGAGAUGGACUACAGAACAGCACAUGCCCGAGGUGGAAGUUCAAGUCAAAUACAGAACAGCUGCACUGAGCAACCAAGAGUGUCAAUUGUACCUGAGGCAUUCUCAGCAGCAGCAAGUGCUUGUGGUGGAUUUCCAGGCCAAACUGAGACAGGUAUUCAUAACUGAGACACCAAGAUGUGGU